GAAGUGGCGCAGAUGGCAGCGCACAUGGCCGGAAACCAUGAUGUCGCGGGUUCAAAUCCCGCCUUCA
Molecule: transfer RNA, 67 nt
Filed under: Candidatus Mediterraneibacter tabaqchaliae
Lineage: Bacteria; Bacillati; Bacillota; Clostridia; Lachnospirales; Lachnospiraceae
Description: tRNA-Ser
Rfam family: tRNA
About the family: Transfer RNA (tRNA) molecules are approximately 80 nucleotides in length. Their secondary structure includes four short double-helical elements and three loops (D, anti-codon, and T loops). Further hydrogen bonds mediate the characteristic L-shaped molecular structure. tRNAs have two regions of fundamental functional importance: the anti-codon, which is responsible for specific mRNA codon recognition, and the 3' end, to which the tRNAs corresponding amino acid is attached (by aminoacyl-tRNA synthetases). tRNAs cope with the degeneracy of the genetic code in two manners: having more than one tRNA (with a specific anti-codon) for a particular amino acid; and 'wobble' base-pairing, i.e. permitting non-standard base-pairing at the 3rd anti-codon position.
Source: RNAcentral